AUGCAUAAAGGCAGAUUUGAGACCCAAGAAAGAUUGAGUAAGAGGCUCGUGGAUUUGAGAGAGCAAUAUACAUCCACUGGUACUAAGGAGAUUCUUAUAAAGUCGAUGGCGCAGGCGAUCCUCACCUAUGUCAUGAGUGUGUUCAAGCUUUCGGCUUCCGUUUGCGAUGACUUAACUCAGAUUAUGAGACAAUACUGGUGGGAGUGGAAAACGGGAAGAGGAAGAUGGCUUGGUUGA
RNAcentral lists this ribosomal RNA (237 nucleotides) under Triticum aestivum (bread wheat). RNAcentral's name for it is "partial small subunit ribosomal RNA". Lineage: Eukaryota; Viridiplantae; Streptophyta; Magnoliopsida; Poales; Poaceae. The record is from RNAcentral.